AUUGAACGCUGGCGGCAGGCUUAACACAUGCAAGUCGAGCGGGGUGAUGGUGCUUGCACUAUCACUUAGCGGCGGACGGGUGAGUAAUGCUUAGGAAUCUGCCUAUUAGUGGGCGACAACAUCUCGAAAGGGAUGUUAAUACCGCAUACGUCCUACGGGAGAAAGCAGGGGAUCACUUGUGACCUUGCGCUAAUAGAUGAGCCUAAGUCGGGUUAGCUAGUUGGUGGGGUAAAGGCCUACCAAGGCGACGUUCUGUAGCGGGUCUGAGAGGAUGAUCCGCCACACUGGGACUGGGACACGGCCCAGACUCCUGCGGGAGGCAGCAGUGGGGAAUAUUGGACAAUGGGGGGAACCCUGAUCCAGCCAUGCCGCGUGUGUGAAGAAGGCCUUAUGGUUGUAAAGCACUUUAAGCGAGGAGGAGGCUCUUUUGGUUAAUACCCAAGAUGAGUGGACGUUACUCGCAGAAUAAGCACCGGCUAACUCUGUGCCAGCAGCCGCGGUAA
RNAcentral lists this ribosomal RNA (503 nucleotides) under uncultured bacterium. Its description in RNAcentral is "partial 16S ribosomal RNA". It matches the Rfam family "Bacterial small subunit ribosomal RNA", at positions 30 to 523 of the family's 1533-position model. The record is from RNAcentral.